GGAAAGAGAGAGACCGGCAGGAGGAGUCCUCGUCAUGACCCAGUCCCUCGCUGUUAUCCUAAAAAGCCCUAUCUUUUGGAGCAGGAAGAGUCCUGGGAAGUCUUCUGGUUCAACCCCAGAGAAAGAUGGGCGUCUCACCAAACUCCUGGGCUCAAGUGAUCCUCCUGCCUCGACCUCCCAAAGUGCUGGGACUACAGGAGUGAGUUAACGCUCCCAGCAACCCGGCUAAUAUUUUCUAGAGAUGGGCACUCACUAUGUUGGCCCAGGUUGGUCUCAAACUCCUGGGCUCAAGCGAUCUCCAGACCUCAGCCUCCCAAAGGGAUAACAGGUGACCAACCCGGCCCUCCAAUUUCCUUUGACUUCACCAUUCCUCAGGCUCCUGCAGCACCCAUGGGAGCACACUUUGUAGCUUGAAUCACUAGAGACAGCCCUACUUCCAUGAUUCAGAGCUGCAGGCUUUGACCACAACCACCCAUCUCUCACCUCUGCCAUGACCUCGCCUUUCUUGUCUCAAGACCUAGGACCCCUUUUGGUUUUAUCAGACUCCUUACCCAGCCUAAACUACUCAAUUCUGUCCCCUUACCUACCUACCUACCUACAGGUCAGUUCCCAAACCAAUGAUCGUUGCUCCAUUUCCCCCACCUCUUUUUUUCACUCCUGGGCUCUGGAGUAUUGCUGGAAGAAAAAUAACCAGAACAUGUUUGCCAAGCCCUAGAUUCCCUGACUAGCCUCACUACCGGGCUCUAAGGGCAGCUCUGUGAUCCUUUGUCUUUUAUUGACUCCGUCACCCUCAAGAUAACUAUUCAAACUUUUCCACAUUCAUCAAGGCACUCCACCUGUCCCCAUGUCUCUGCUCUCUGCAGAACGCCUUUCAUUCCUGCUUUAUGAGAUUGAGGCCAUGCAUGUGAACCCUUUAAGUUUUCCCUCUGUCUGUCUCUAUACUUGAUUCAUCGCUCAAAAAUUUCUCUCCACUUUUACUCCUUCUUUUUUUUUUUUUUUUUUUUUUUUUGAGACGGAGUCUUGCACUGUUGCCGGGUUGGAGUGCAGUGGCUUGAUCUCAGCUCACUGCAACCUCUGCCUCCCUGGUUCAAGCGAUUCUCCUGCCUCAGCCUCCCUAGAAGCUGGGAUUACAGGCAUGAGCUACCACACCCAGCUAAUUUUUGUAUUUUUAGUAGAGACGGGGUUUCACCAUGUUGGUCAGGCUGGUCUCAAACUCCUGACCUCAAGUGAUCCGCCCACCUCGGCCUCCCAAAGUGCUGGGAUUACCAACCGCAUCCAGCCUACUCCUUCCUUUUGGACUCAGAAGAAGUGUUGCACCCUUUGGCAUAUGUUCUUGCCUCCCCUUUUCAACUUCCUCCAGGACUUCUCUAUCAUCUUCCCUCUCGCCCUUGCCCUUAGCUCCUCUCCCAUAUACUAUAAAUAUGCACAGGUCUUCCUUAAUUAAAAAUAUGUAAACCCUUGGCCAGGCUUGGUGGCUCAUGCCUGUAAUCUCAGCACUUUGGGAGGCCGAGGCAGGUGGAUCACGUGAAGUCAGGAGUUGUUCAAGAUCAGCCUGGCCAGCAUGGUGAAACCCCGUCUCUACUAAAAAAUACAAAAAAAUAGCCGGGCGU
This 1610-nucleotide long non-coding RNA is filed under the name Homo sapiens (human). RNAcentral describes it as "non-protein coding lnc-COA3-3:1". Lineage: Eukaryota; Metazoa; Chordata; Mammalia; Primates; Hominidae. The record is from RNAcentral.